AUGAGCUGGCGGAGAAGAUGUCAGUGGUGGAAGCGGACAUGUUAUAGAAGAUGUUGCGGGCGGUACCGGAGGAAAUUGCCAAAUGGGGUUCCUCCGAGCCGACAAGAAGGAUGCUGCAGCGGCACAUAUUGGGUUCCAUUUCCAUCCAGAGAAGAACUUAUGAACAGUAUGUGCGCUAUCCAUUCAUUCUUUCGUUUGAUCCUUCCUUAUUCCCCUCAACUCAGAUUCUUUUUCUUUUGCAAUUACGCAUGGUUUUUAUGGAUCAAUAAAUUUAGGGACAUUAAUGGCAGUGAGAAUAUCAUAUAUCCAUAA
This 312-nucleotide ribosomal RNA is filed under the name Triticum aestivum (bread wheat). RNAcentral describes it as "partial small subunit ribosomal RNA". Lineage: Eukaryota; Viridiplantae; Streptophyta; Magnoliopsida; Poales; Poaceae. The record is from RNAcentral.